AACGAACGCUGGCGGCAUGCCUAACACAUGCAAGUCGAACGAGACCUUCGGGUCUAGUGGCGCACGGGUGCGUAACGCGUGGUAACCUGCCCUUAGGUUCGGAAUAACUCCCCGUAAGGGGUGCUAAUACCGGAUAAUGUCUUCGGACCAAAGAUUUAUCGCCUUUGGAUGGGCCCGCGUUGGAUUAGCUGGUUGGUAGGGUAAAAGCCUACCAAGGCGACGAUCCAUAGCUGGUCUGAGAGGAUGAUCAGCCACACUGGAGCUGAGACACGGCCCAGACUGCUACGGGAGGGAGCAGUGGGGAAUAUUGGACAAUGGGGGAAGGCCUGAUACAGCAAUGCCGCGUGAGUGAUGAAGGCCUUAGGGUUGUAAAGCUCUUUUACCCGGGAUGAUAAUGACAGUACCGGGAGAAUAAGCACCGGCUAACUCCGUG
Molecule: ribosomal RNA, 433 nt
Filed under: uncultured bacterium
Lineage: Bacteria
Description: partial 16S ribosomal RNA
Rfam family: Bacterial small subunit ribosomal RNA
Source: RNAcentral